Long non-coding RNA from Hibiscus syriacus, 146 nucleotides. RefSeq lists it as uncharacterized. The transcript is spliced from 3 exons. Lineage: Eukaryota; Viridiplantae; Streptophyta; Magnoliopsida; Malvales; Malvaceae. The record is from RefSeq and is a predicted model, not a curated record.
UCUCAUGGUCUACUUGCACAAUAAUACAGGCUUGCUAAUCCAAAACACAAUCAAACAUAUCAUUAGCCCAAAGUUGGCAAAGGAUACUAGUACAGUGAGCUGUUUUUGGACUAACUAAUGGCAUAAGAUAUUGAGAAUAAUCAUAU